Molecule: long non-coding RNA, 961 nt
Filed under: Homo sapiens (human)
Lineage: Eukaryota; Metazoa; Chordata; Mammalia; Primates; Hominidae
Description: UBE2R2 antisense RNA 1, transcript variant 3 (UBE2R2-AS1)
Source: RNAcentral
AUACAUCCCACCCAGAGAAACGAUCUCGCCUCAGAUGAUACUUGUCAUCUGUGAGACCACCCCUUUAGCUAGAGUUAACCACUUGAGCAGGUUUCAAUUUUGUCUCUGAAAGUAGGAAGCUAUCAGUCUCCCUACAUGACUCGUUCCACCCUUUGUGGAUACUUCUACCUGUAGAAAAAAAGGUUGGCAAACUUGGUGGCAUGGUGAGGACAAAGGGCAUUUUGAAAGAACCAGUGACUGAGGUCAGAGUGGGGAGCUGGUGUUAGCUGUGGGAUUCACUGCAGCGUCCUACCACAAAGGCAAAGAAGAUGAAAAUGCAGCGUGCAGUGCUGGGCUUGAUUCCCAAGUCGCAGUCGGGCUCCCGCUAUGGGUAGGAGGCUUUACACUCAGCCUGGGUCAGCACCGGAGCAUCCAGGCACUUCAGCUCGUCUGGGUAGUCAGCUGUGAGGAUCAGGAAGAGAUCAAAGAAAGUAGAAAUGUGGGUGAGGCCAGAGAAGGAGACAAUAAUCUGGGAUGGAACAUUGAAGAGGAACACUGCCUCUGGAGAGGACUCCAAAACAUGCAAGACAUUGUGAUUUUGACCUUGUUGGAUGCUGCACCUAAAGGUGGAUGGAAGAGGAAGAGUCUUGGGGGCUACCAUCCUGGCUGGAGAAGCUGGCACGAGGCUCCCUCUUGUGGAUGCAGCAAGGACUGUUAAAAAUCUCCCAAGGCAGAGACUUUUAGGCCUACAUGUACUUAGCCUCCUCUUCCCACCUCCUGUUCAUCUCUGUUUCCAAUGUUCCACUGCCAUCACUGCCAGGAAGUUCUGCAGAGAAGAAUGAAGAAGAACCGUAUGAUCCUAAACAUGUUCUUUGAAGAUAUUAUCAACCCACCAUUGGCCUUAUUUACUGGAAUGUUUUUAUAACCUUUAUUUGACACCUCUUCCCAUCAUUUAAAAUAAAUCUGGUGCUUCCCUGAAUAA